Molecule: long non-coding RNA, 1455 nt
Organism: Raphanus sativus (radish)
Lineage: Eukaryota; Viridiplantae; Streptophyta; Magnoliopsida; Brassicales; Brassicaceae
Exons: 3
Source: RefSeq, a predicted model, not a curated record
GUCUUCAGGUCUCGUCUUCUCGACGAAGUCGCCUCCUUCUUCUUCCUCUCCAUUGAGUUCUGCAACGUUUGUUUCAACAGUAUUCAAUUCGAUUUUCAAUUCUGUCGUUACGCUCCGCCCACCUUUCUUCCCUCUCUGUCAUUUAAUUUUAAUAAGAGCGUCCUGUGUAACCGAUUGAGGCUUCCCCUAUAAGUAAGGGUUAUUGGAGAAAUGGAGAUUCACACAGUCGAGAUGUGUGUUUUUGUUACAUUUUGUUUUUAUAGAUAUGAUAGAUUAUUUUGUAUCGUGUUUGUCAUUUUUCGUUUCAUACAUUAUUUUUCUGUUUCGUGUUUCUCAACUUUUAUUUUCACUGAUUUUGUUUUCUCCACAGACUCCCAAUAACAUCAAACAUCAAAGGGUCAUGGCAACCUCCCAGCUGUCACUGUAGUAAGAUCGUAGUCAGUAGCCUUAUUCUUUUUUUUUAUGUAGUAGAGAUGCUUCAUGAUUCUUCUCUGACCAUUGUUCUGUUUUGUAGCAGACAAACAAUGCUCUAUAUACAUAUUCUUUUCUUUUUUUGAGCAAAUGUACAUAUUCUAUUUCAGGUUUGAUUUUCUGUGUUUUAAUUUUACUGGAAUAAGAUUGAGAGAUGAAAAACAUUUGCCUUUGGUUUAGAUACUGAGACCUUCAAUAAGAUUGUGUUUUAAAAAGAAAAGAACUUCAGUAAGACUUUUAUAUUUUUAUUGGUUGAUUUAUUGUUUAGGUAUCAUAACACAGAGCUUUAUCAUCAAUAUCUUCGUAGAAAUUUAGGGAUGAAGUAGCAAUAUAAAUGUUUCGAGUCAUCAUCAGCUUUGAAACUCAAACUUAACAGACGAAAAGCAGAGAGGGGAGUAUUUGAUUUUUCUGUAUUUUCUGUCCCAAUUUCAAAUGAGAUUUUAGGUUCUGCAACUAUGAAUAGCUGAUGGCGUUGGCAAAUAUAAUCACGAAUCACCAGUGAUUGUUAUGGAACGAUAUUCAGUGACCACACCCAGACUACUCAACAGUAAUGGUGAACAAUCGCAUGGAUAAGGGACACAGCCUAUUGCCAGACUCCUUCACAAGAAAUUGGAAGCUGGUGUUCUGCAACUUAGGGUGAUGAUAACCACCAUCAUCAAUCCCAAGUUAGUAGGACAGGUAACCUCAUUCUGGAUAAGAAUGUUAAAUUUAAAACUUGAAAGCCACCGAAAAAGACCCGCACCGCAAGGCUUAGUUUCCUGCAUGAGACACUAAAUUGAAACACCUUUAUUGUUUCCACAAAAAAAGAAACUCUGUCGUUUCCAUCCAUGCUUGCUCUCAGUUCUUUGACUUUAUUAUGUGCAAAUAAGGGGUUGGAGUCUUGGACACUUAGUCCACCAUAAGCUUUUGUCUCACUGUAGGUUUUGUUACUAAGUGGAUUCUUUGACGUUUUAAAUAUAAGUUUUUAUUGGUUUUCAGAGUCUA